CAAUACAUGCAAGUCGAGCGAACUGACGAGGAGCUUGCUCCUUUGACGUUAGCGGCGGACGGGUGAGUAACACGUGGGUAACCUACCUAUAAGACUGGAAUAACUCCGGGAAACCGGGGCUAAUGCCGGAUAACAUAUCGAACCGCAUGGUUCGAUAGUGAAAGACGGUCUUGCUGUCACUUAUAGAUGGACCCGCGCCGUAUUAGCUAGUUGGUGAGGUAACGGCUCACCAAGGCGACGAUACGUAGCCGACCUGAGAGGGUGAUCGGCCACACUGGAACUGAGACACGGUCCAGACUCCUACGGGAGGCAGCAGUAGGGAAUCUUCCGCAAUGGGCGAAAGCCUGACGGAGCAACGCCGCGUGAGUGAUGAAGGUCUUCGGAUCGUAAAGCUCUGUUGUUAGGGAAGAACAAAUGUGUAAGUAACUGUGCACAUCUUGACGGUACCUAACCAGAAAGCCACGGCUAACUACGUGCCAGCAGCCGCGGUAAUACGUAGGUGGCAAGCGUUAUCCGGAAUUAUUGGGCGUAAAGCGCGCGUAGGCGGUUUUUUAAGUCUGAUGUGAAAGCCCACGGCUCAACCGUGGAGGGUCAUUGGAAACUGGAAAACUUGAGUGCAGAAGAGGAAAGUGGAAUUCCAUGUGUAGCGGUGAAAUGCGCAGAGAUAUGGAGGAACACCAGUGGCGAAGGCGGCUUUCUGGUCUGUAACUGACGCUGAUGUGCGAAAGCGUGGGGAUCAAACAGGAUUAGAUACCCUGGUAGUCCACGCCGUAAACGAUGAGUGCUAAGUGUUAGGGGGUUUCCGCCCCUUAGUGCUGCAGCUAACGCAUUAAGCACUCCGCCUGGGGAGUACGGUCGCAAGACUGAAACUCAAAGGAAUUGACGGGGACCCGCACAAGCGGUGGAGCAUGUGGUUUAAUUCGAAGCAACGCGAAGAACCUUACCAAAUCUUGACAUCUUUUGACCGCUCUAGAGAUAGAGUUUUCCUCUUCGGAGGACAAAUGACAGGUGGUGCAUGGUUGUCGUCAGCUCGUGUCGUGAGAUGUUGGGUUAAGUCCCGCAACGAGCGCAACCCUUGAGCUUAGUUGCCAUCAUUAAGUUGGGCACUCUAAGUUGACUGCCGGUGACAAACCGGAGGAAGGUGGGGAUGACGUCAAAUCAUCAUGCCCCUUAUGAUUUGGGCUACACACGUGCUACAAUGGACAAUACAAAGGGCAGCAAAACCGCGAGGUCAAGCAAAUCCCAUAAAGUUGUUCUCAGUUCGGAUUGUAGUCUGCAACUCGACUACAUGAAGCUGGAAUCGCUAGUAAUCGUAGAUCAGCAUGCUACGGUGAAUACGUUCCCGGGUCUUGUACACACCGCCCGUCACACCACGAGAGUUUGUAACACCCGAAGCCGGUGGAGUAACCAUUGGAGCUAGCCGUUCGAAGGUGGACAAAGG
This 1441-nucleotide ribosomal RNA is filed under the name Staphylococcus chromogenes. RNAcentral describes it as "bacterial SSU rRNA". It matches the Rfam family "Bacterial small subunit ribosomal RNA". The record is from RNAcentral. Lineage: Bacteria; Bacillati; Bacillota; Bacilli; Caryophanales; Staphylococcaceae.